RNAcentral lists this ribosomal RNA (865 nucleotides) under Halicephalobus sp. CFB131. RNAcentral's name for it is "SSU rRNA". It matches the Rfam family "Eukaryotic small subunit ribosomal RNA", at positions 35 to 941 of the family's 1831-position model. Lineage: Eukaryota; Metazoa; Nematoda; Chromadorea; Rhabditida; Panagrolaimidae. The record is from RNAcentral.
UUUAAAGGAUUAAAGCAUGCAUGUCUAAGUACAUGUGAGUACACGAAACCGCGCAAAGCUCAUUACAACAGCUAAAAUGUAUACGGUGAGAUACCAUUAAAUGGAUAUCUGCGGUAAAUCUGGAGCUAAUACAUGCAUAAUAGAUUGUAUAAUUAUGUUAUACAAUAGCAGUUAUUAGAUUAAAACCAAUGGGCUUUGCCCAUAUAAGUUAACUCUAGAUAAUGCGCUACCAUACAGAUAUAUUUCUGAUGGAAUGCCGUAUUUGUAUCUGCCCUAUCAACUAUAUAACCGUGUAUUGAACGGUUAUGGUGUUGCCGGGUAACGGAGAAUUAGGGUUCGUCUCCGGAGAGAAUGCCUUAAAAACGGCUUUCACAUCCAAGGAAGGCAGCAGGCGCGAAAAUUACCCACUCUCAGUGCGAGGAGGUAGUGACGUGAAAUGACAAGUUCUAUUCUUUAUAGGAUAGAACAUUGGAAUGGUUUAAUUCUAAAUCCAUUAAAGAUUAUCAAUGAGAGGGCAAGUCUGGUGCCAGCAGCCGCGGUAAUUCCAGCUCUCAUACUGCAUUGAAUUGCUGUUGCGGUUAAAAAGUUCGUAGUUGCAAGUGUACGAAGAGGAGUGGUUCGUAUUAUUGGCGAUACUAUAACUUUCGUUAAAGGGGUAUAUGUAUUUAUACAUAUCCCACAGUUACUUUGAGUAAAUCAGAGUGCUUAGAACAAGCGUAUUGCUUGAAUGGUUGUGCAUGGAAUAACAAUACAAUGCGUUGUCAUUUGUUUUGUUGGUUUUAAUGACAAUGAAUGAUUAAAAGGAACAAACGGGGGCAAAAGUAUCAUAAGGCGAGAGGUGAAAUCGUGACCCUUGAAGCAAGGC